Molecule: ribosomal RNA, 450 nt
Filed under: uncultured bacterium
Lineage: Bacteria
Description: partial 16S ribosomal RNA
Rfam family: Bacterial small subunit ribosomal RNA
Source: RNAcentral
GUGGGGAAUCUUCCGCAAUGGACGAAAGUCUAACGGAGCAACGCCGCGUGAGUGAAGAAGGUUUUCGGAUCGUAAAGCUCUUUCGUUAGGGACGAACGUGCUCUUUGUGAAUAAUGAGGAGUAAUGACGGUACCUAAAUAAGAAGCCACGGCUAACUACGUGCCAGCAGCCGCGGUAAUACGUAGGUGGCAAGCGUUGUCCGGAAUUAUUGGGCGUAAAGCGCGUGCAGGCGGGAUAUCAAGUCUGUCUUAAAAGUGCGAGGCUCAACCUCGUGAGGGGACAGAAACUGGUAUUCUUGAGUGUCGGAGAGGAAAGUGGAAUUCCAAGUGUAGCGGUGAAAUGCGUAGAGAUUUGGAAGAACACCAGUGGCGAAGGCGACUUUCUGGACGAUGUCUGACGCUGAGGCGCGAAAGCUAGGGGAGCGAACGGGAUUAGAUACCCGAGUAGUCC